Molecule: long non-coding RNA, 348 nt
Organism: Monodelphis domestica (gray short-tailed opossum)
Lineage: Eukaryota; Metazoa; Chordata; Mammalia; Didelphimorphia; Didelphidae
Source: RefSeq, a predicted model, not a curated record
CAAGCGCCACUCUCGGAGAGGGCGCCCACUCCAACGCCCGCUCCGCAGCCGUAGUGCGCAGGCGCUGAGCUCGAAGUCCUCACCCGCACCCUCUCCCAAGACCCGAACAGAAGCUUUCUCCGUCUUCACUUCCUUUACAUCAAAGCCCUUUCGCCAUUCCCUGCCUCAAUGCGCAGGCGCCAGAGAUAGACCAUCUUCUCCGUUUCCCUCCAACUCCCCGUCACCCCCAGCCCCAGACCAAGCACGCAAACGCAGCAAGUGAAAAGAACAAUCUGAACUUGAAGUCAGAAGACGAGCUGAAAUCCUAGAAAUCAUUUACCAUCUGAUAAACUUAGGCAAAUCACUUAA